AGAAAAUAGGUGCCCGUACCGCAAACCGACACAGGUAGUCAAGAUGAGAAUUCUAAGGUGAGCGAGCGAACUCUCGUUAAGGAACUCGGCAAAAUGACCCCGUAACUUCGGGAGAAGGGGUGCUCUUUAGGGUUAACGCCCAGAAGAGCCGCAGUGAAUAGGCCCAAGCGACUGUUUAUCAAAAACACAGGUCUCUGCUAAACCGUAAGGUGAUGUAUAGGGGCUGACGCCUGCCCGGUGCUGGAAGGUUAAGAGGAGUGGUUAGCUUCUGCGAAGCUACGAAUCGAAGCCCCAGUAAACGGCGGCCGUAACUAUAACGGUCCUAAGGUAGCGAAAUUCCUUGUCGGGUAAGUUCCGACCCGCACGAAAGGCGUAACGAUUUGGGCACUGUCUCAACGAGAGACUCGGUGAAAUCAUAGUACCUGUGAAGAUGCAGGUUACCCGCGACAGGACGGAAAGACCCCGUGGAGCUUUACUGUAGCCUGAUAUUGAAAUUCGGCACAGCUUGUACAGGAUAGGUAGGAGCCUUUGAAACGUGAGCGCUAGCUUACGUGGAGGCGCUGGUGGGAUACUACCCUAGCUGUGUUGGCUUUCUAACCCGCACCACUUAUCGUGGUGGGAGACAGUGUCAGGCGGGCAGUUUGACUGGGGCGGUCGCCUCCUAAAAGGUAACGGAGGCGCUCAAAGGUUCCCUCAGAAUGGUUGGAAAUCAUUCAUAGAGUGUAAAGGCAUAAGGGAGCUUGACUGCGAGACCUACAAGUCGAGCAGGGUCGAAAGACGGACUUAGUGAUCCGGUGGUUCCGCAUGGAAGGGCCAUCGCUCAACGGAUAAAAGCUACCCCGGGGAUAACAGGCUUAUCUCCCCCAAGAGUUCACAUCGACGGGGAGGUUUGGCACCUCGAUGUCGGCUCAUCGCAUCCUGGGGCUGUAGUCGGUCCCAAGGGUUGGGCUGUUCGCCCAUUAAAGCGGUACGCGAGCUGGGUUCAGAACGUCGUGAGACAGUUC
RNAcentral lists this ribosomal RNA (1004 nucleotides) under Staphylococcus aureus. RNAcentral's name for it is "partial 23S ribosomal RNA". It matches the Rfam family "Bacterial large subunit ribosomal RNA", at positions 1629 to 2632 of the family's 2925-position model. The record is from RNAcentral. Lineage: Bacteria; Bacillati; Bacillota; Bacilli; Caryophanales; Staphylococcaceae.